RNAcentral lists this unclassified non-coding RNA (347 nucleotides) under soil metagenome. RNAcentral describes it as "partial contains 5.8S ribosomal RNA, internal transcribed spacer 2, and large subunit ribosomal RNA". The stretch from base 1 to 119 matches the Rfam family "5.8S ribosomal RNA", at positions 36 to 154 of the family's 154-position model. The record is from RNAcentral.
AUGAAGAACGCAGCGAAAUGCGAUAAGUAAUGUGAAUUGCAGAAUUCAGUGAAUCAUCGAAUCUUUGAACGCACAUUGCGCCCGCCAGUAUUCUGGCGGGCAUGCCUGUCUGAGCGUCAUUUCAACCCUCAUGCCCCUAGGGCGUGGUGUUGGGGAUCGGCCAAAGCCCGCGAGGGACGGCCGGCCCCUAAAUCUAGUGGCGGACCCGUCGUGGCCUCCUCUGCGAAGUAGUGAUAUUCCGCAUCGGAGAGCGAUGAGCCCCUGCCGUUAAACCCCCAACUUUCCAAGGUUGACCUCAGAUCAGGUAGGAAUACCCGCUGAACUUAAGCAUAUCAAUAAGCGGAGGA